CUUGGCCUCUCAUUUUUCUCAUUCAUGUACUUUUCUGAAUAUUCCUAUUUACAUGCUCCUAUUCUUGUUUUCAUAGCAAGUGAUUGCUUUCAUCCACUGAGAAGAAAAGUGGAUGUCAAAAUCCAUGAGAAUUGCAUCUAUCUGCUGAAAGAACAUUAGCUAGGAUGGGAGGUUGCUGUUGUUCUGCAAGAAAGCCCCUGCUCCAUGGAUCCCCUGUACUUUACUAUUGCCCACCAUGUUCAGAGGAGCGUGACUCUUUGACAUCAAAUUUAAGGUAGCAGGCUUGGACUUUGCAUUUACAGAGAGCACUGUUGUUUACCACACCAAGGUGGAUUGAUCCUCUU
Molecule: long non-coding RNA, 344 nt
Organism: Ipomoea nil (Japanese morning glory)
Lineage: Eukaryota; Viridiplantae; Streptophyta; Magnoliopsida; Solanales; Convolvulaceae
Exons: 3
Source: RefSeq, a predicted model, not a curated record